Molecule: ribosomal RNA, 433 nt
Filed under: uncultured bacterium
Lineage: Bacteria
Description: partial 16S ribosomal RNA
Rfam family: Bacterial small subunit ribosomal RNA
Source: RNAcentral
AACGAACGCUGGCGGCAUGCCUAACACAUGCAAGUCGAACGAUCCCUUCGGGGAUAGUGGCGCACGGGAGCGUAACGCGUGGGAACCUGCCCUUAGGUUCGGAAUAACUCAGAGAAAUUUGAGCUAAUACCGGAUAAUGUCUUCGGACCAAAGAUUUAUCGCCUUUGGAUGGGCCCGCGUUGGAUUAGCUAGUUGGUGGGGUAAAGGCCUACCAAGGCGACGAUCCAUAGCUGGUCUGAGAGGAUGAUCAGCCACACUGGGACUGAGACACGGCCCAGACUCCUACGGGAGGCAGCAGUGGGGAAUAUUGGACAAUGGGCGAAAGCCUGAUCCAGCAAUGCCGCGUGAGUGAUGAAGGCCUUAGGGUUGUAAAGCUCUUUUACCCGGGAUGAUAAUGACAGUACCGGGAGAAUAAGCCCCGGCUAACUCCGUG